CGACAAGAACGCAUCAGACGACCCGAGGAGUAAACACAAGUUUAAGGUCCACACCUACUCCAGCCCUACGUUCUGUGACCACUGUGGAUCCCUACUCUACGGGUUGAUACACCAGGGCAUGAGAUGUGACCAUUGUAUGAUGAACAUCCAUAA
This is a long non-coding RNA of Oncorhynchus masou masou (cherry salmon), 153 nucleotides long. RefSeq lists it as uncharacterized. The transcript has 3 exons. Lineage: Eukaryota; Metazoa; Chordata; Actinopteri; Salmoniformes; Salmonidae. The record is from RefSeq and is a predicted model, not a curated record.